UUUUUUUUCUCGAGCCGCCGCCGCCGCCCCUCCUCCAUAGCCAUGCCCGCGCCGCACCCGUCCCCCGUCCUCUCCGCGCCCGGCGGCCGGCGAGUCUAGGGCACGGGCUCCGGCGACCGACCACCACUACCACCACCUCCUCCUCCGGUUGCCUCCGGCCUCGCCUUCCCCCUUUCCCUCCCUCCUCCCGGCUGGAGGCUCCCUGACGGUCUGUCCCCACGUGGUGCGACAACUCAUUGCCAGAGGCCAUGGCGGCGGCGGCGCAGCAGCGGGGGAAGGCGGGCGGUGGCGGGGUGGAUCGGCUUCCUCAUCCAGGUCCUGCUCCAGAUCCUCCGGGGCACCCCGUCCCGCGCCCAGCUCAUGGGCUUCGUCGGCUUCCGCUACCCCUCCUCUCCGGGCCCGCGGCCUCCCUCUCCAGUUGCCGCGCUCGUCGUACAAGCCCUCGCCGGGCCACCCUGCCCCGUCGCCGUGCUCAGUGGAGAAGCCCUACCUCCUCCGCCUGAUCCUGCCUGCUUCCCCGGCCUUCUCGUGCUGCCGCCGCCGCCUCCUUCCGCAGGCGGCGUCUUGGCCUCACCCACCCCAACCUCCCUCGACUCCAUCAUCCACGCGAGGAAGCAAACCCAUCCUCCUUCGUAUUCUCUGGUUCAUCAGCGCCAAACAAGAGCAUAUCGUCCGGACAUCUUCAAGUCUUGGACCUCAACAAUGCAUUGGUCGAAUCUCACAGCCAUACCUAGGAAACUCAAGGAAAAUUGCUUGCUGUUGCACCACCCACACCAAAUGAUAUGACAUGCAGCCACAAGAUUAUCCAAAUCAGUUCUUUAAGUGACAUGCAGCCCCACCCCCACCAAAUGAUAUGACAGUGAAGCAAGUUGCUGACAAAUUGGCAAGUUUUGUUGCCAAAAAUGGGAGAUAGUUUGAGAAUAUCACACGGCAGAGGAAUCCUGGAGGUACACCAUUCAACUUGCUGAAGAGGAAAAGGCUCUUGGUCGAUCAAAUGAUGCUAAGCAUCAAAAAAUGCAUUGCAAGCUUCAAAGCACCAAGUGGUCCGUAUAGAAGCUCAUUUGAACAAAAGUCUUAACUAUCAGACAACUGCAUUAGCUUUGUAUGGGGCAUAUGAGGAACCUGUAGGUUCCACUCUUCCGCCUUUGCUGUUGCAAGAGUGUAUGGUGUGCCUUCAAUUGCGAUCUCGUUCAAUUGGUGAGCAUGCCUUGGACUGGGAGAUGUUCAGGCGUUGGCAUGAUGGCUGUUCCAUUGCAUUUAAUGAGCGGCUGAGCAGAGAAGAUCGAGCCAUGGAAGAUGGUUUACCAGGCUUGGCAAAUGUAUGGUUUGAGAGAGCACUUCAAACAUUUUCAUUACGUAAUAUCAUAACACACUAGCUUUUGUCCUAAUAGUUAUUUGUGAGCUACCAUGGUCAUGGCAACAGUAUUUGUGCUUGAAGGAGUAGCAGAAUUUAUUCAUGUAGUCAAGAUGAUGAGCCUGAUCAGAAGCAACAUUUAAUGAAGCAACUGCAUAACUACUGUUUGAACUCAGUUUUCUAAAAAUCAGAAAUGCCAUUUCUUUUUCUUUAUUUUUUCUUCAUAAUAAACAGCUGGGAAUGUGUUUAAGCUCUUACUUUAGUUUUCUUAGGUUCUUUCUCUAUAUAAAUGUCAGCCAACAUUUACAGGUACCAAUGCUUUGUCGAGGUACACUGAAAAAAAGAAUCAUCUGACUGUUACAUAAUGUGGUCUGUAACUACAUGGCUAGAGACCCCAUUUGUUUCUUGUAAUAUUGCCUGCAUAAAUAAAUUGACACUCAAGUUGCAUGGGGAACAUCUAAUGGCGAUAAUUGCAUAUUCUGAAGCUUCCUUGUUCUCUCUGAACUCUAAAUCCUGGCUAUUGCACCAUGCAGUAUAAAGCAUGGAAUGGAUAGUUGGAUACAGAAAGAGCCACCAUCAGAACAAAAGCCAUGAGGAUGUCAGUCAGAUUAACCAAGGACUCAUUGGCCUACUAGGAGCUAAAUAGCUUAUCAAAUGCAUGUAGCCAACUGUGGGAGCUCGAUAUGAACUGUCUCCUUCCUGCUAAGGACUACAGAAUUGGUUGUCAGGGGGAAGUAACUUUAUCAGAAGGGUGAUAUGACACAUGUUAGUUUGUUGAGCUGGCUAGGCGAUGAUGUGCUAAGAAAACCCACUAUGACAUAAGUAAACAACAUUGCAACACUAGCUUAUAUGAACUUAUCUAGGUCAUGUAUUUUAACAUCUAGAUUGCUUAGAUAAAUAGAUAGAAUGAUGCUUUAGGACAGAUAUAGUCAAGUACUUGUACUUAGAAGACAAUGUCUUUUAUUGCAGGAUGACUAACCAAAUGGCAGGAUAUGAUUUUGGUUCUUCAUACGCUUUUCCUGCGUGAAUUCAUACCUGAGUUCAGUCACUUGCUUUUCCCAUAUAGUUAGUCACAACUCACACUGUGAUACAUAGUUGAACAAUCCUUUUCCUAAUUCUCUGUUUUACAUCUUCAAAUUGAUACAGGUUAGCAAAGUUGUGCAGGCUGGCCUCACGGCUGCCUCUUUUUCAAGUCCUGCACUGGUGUGAUGCUAAGAGCCGAGCACAAAGGAUAUACAUGUGAUGGAUGAUGUUUCCCUCAAUAAUAAGGAGAGGGUAUUUAGUUCCUUUUCUUCCUGCAUAUAAUAUUAGAUAGAGAAUAGUGGAUCAUAUAUAUCUUCAGUAUAUCACAUGAAUCUCCUUGCAUGAGAUUUUACUUAGCUCUAUGGUAGUUCAAAAUUUUUUGUAUAAUCGGAAAUAUUGCGGAAGCUUACUUGAGUUUUUCCUUGCAAAUACUAUUUUGGACCCUUUUAGCUCUAUGGCAGCCGAAUGGGCAUUCAGCUACUUUUGAUGUGGGGUAUAUUACGAGGGUUCAUAUGUAGGGUCCAAUAGUGGCUUAGAUUGAUCAAAGGUGUCUCUUCUACCGAA
Molecule: RNA transcript, 2941 nt
Organism: Setaria italica (foxtail millet)
Lineage: Eukaryota; Viridiplantae; Streptophyta; Magnoliopsida; Poales; Poaceae
Gene name: leucine-rich repeat extensin-like protein 1
Exons: 6
Source: RefSeq, a predicted model, not a curated record